This is a long non-coding RNA of Oncorhynchus tshawytscha (Chinook salmon), 301 nucleotides long. Lineage: Eukaryota; Metazoa; Chordata; Actinopteri; Salmoniformes; Salmonidae. The record is from Ensembl.
GGAUGGACAGACCAGGCCUCUCACACUGGGCAGACAGGGGCCCUGGGAUGGACAGACCAGGCCUCUCACACUGGGCAGACAGGGGUCCUGGGAUGGACAGAUCAGGCCUCUCUCACUGGGCAGACAGGGGUCCUGGGAUGGACAGCUCAGGCCUCUCUCACUGGGCAGACAGGGGUCCUGGGAUGGACAGACCAGGCCUCUCUCACUGGGCAGACAGGGGUCCUGGGAUGGACAGCUCAGGCCUCUCUCACUGGGCAGACAGGGGUCCUGGGAUGGACAGACCAGGCCUCUCUCACUGGGC